GUGGGGAAUAUUGCGCAAUGGGGGAAACCCUGACGCAGCGACGCCGUGUGAGGGAAGAAGGCUUUCGGGUCGUAAACCUCUGUCAGAAAGGAAGAACCUCCCAAGUCCGAAUAGGGCUUGGGACUGACGGUACUUUCAAAGGAAGCACCGGCUAACUCCGUGCCAGCAGCCGCGGUAAUACGGAGGGUGCAAGCGUUAAUCGGAAUCACUGGGCGUAAAGCGCGCGUAGGCCGCUUUGUAAGUCGGACGUGAAAGCCCUCGGCUCAACCGGGGAACUGAGGUCGAUACUGCGAGGCUUGAGUCCUGGAGAGGGUGGCGGAAUUCCGGGUGUAGGAGUGAAAUCCGUAGAUAUCCGGAGGAACACCGGUGGCGAAGGCGGCCACCUGGACAGGUACUGACGCUGAGGCGCGAAAGCGUGGGGAGCAAACAGGAUUAGAAACCCGGGUAGUCC
Molecule: ribosomal RNA, 451 nt
Filed under: uncultured bacterium
Lineage: Bacteria
Description: partial 16S ribosomal RNA
Rfam family: Bacterial small subunit ribosomal RNA
Source: RNAcentral